RNAcentral lists this ribosomal RNA (501 nucleotides) under uncultured bacterium. Its description in RNAcentral is "bacterial SSU rRNA". It matches the Rfam family "Bacterial small subunit ribosomal RNA", at positions 8 to 507 of the family's 1533-position model. The record is from RNAcentral.
AGAGUUUGAUCAUGGCUCAGAUUGAACGCUGGCGGAAUGCUUUACACAUGCAAGUCGAACGGCAGCACGGGGCAACCUGGUGGCGAGUGGCGAACGGGUGAGUAAUACAUCGGAACGUGCCCAAUCGUGGGGAUAACGUAGCGAAAGUUACGCUAAUACCGCAUACGAUCUACGGAUGAAAGCGGGGGAUCGCAAGACCUCGCGCGAAUGGAGCGGCCGAUGUCAGAUUAGGUAGUUGGUGGGGUAAAGGCUCACCAAGCCAACGAUCUGUAGCUGGUCUGAGAGGACGACCAGCCACACUGGAACUGAGACACGGUCCAGACUCCUACGGGAGGCAGCAGUGGGGAAUUUUGGACAAUGGGCGCAAGCCUGAUCCAGCCAUUCCGCGUGCAGGAUGAAGGCCUUCGGGUUGUAAACUGCUUUUGUACGGAACGAAACGGUCUGCCCUAAUACGGCGGGCUAAUGACGGUACCGUAAGAAUAAGCACCGGCUAACUACGUG